GAUGAAGAACGCAGCGAAAUGCGAUAAGUAAUGUGAAUUGCAGAAUUCAGUGAAUCAUCGAAUCUUUGAACGCACAUUGCGCCCGCCAGUAUUCUGGCGGGCAUGCCUGUUCGGGCGUCAUUUCAACCAUCAAGCCCCAGGCUUGUGUUGGGGACCUGCGGCUGCCGCAGGCCCUGAAAACCAGUGGCGGGCUCGCUGUCACACCGGGCGUAGUAGAUUUUAUCUCGCUCAGGGCGUGCUGCGGGUUCCGGCCGUUAAAAAGCCUUUUUUACCCAAGGUUGACCUCGGAUCAGGUAGGAAUACCCGCUGAACUUAAGCAUAUCAAUAAGCGGAGGA
RNAcentral lists this unclassified non-coding RNA (336 nucleotides) under soil metagenome. RNAcentral describes it as "partial contains 5.8S ribosomal RNA, internal transcribed spacer 2, and large subunit ribosomal RNA". The stretch from base 1 to 120 matches the Rfam family "5.8S ribosomal RNA", at positions 35 to 154 of the family's 154-position model. The record is from RNAcentral.